CCUACGGGUGGCAGCAGUGGGGAAUAUUGCGCAAUGCUCGUAAGACUGACGCAGCGACGCCGCGUGAAUGACGAAGGCCUUCGGAUCGUAAAGCUCUUUCAGCAGGGAAGAAAAUGCCUAGAAGUAACUGUCUAUGUAUUGACGGUACCUGCAAAGGCAGCCCCGGCUAACUCCGUGCCAGCAGCCGCGGUAAUACGGAGGGGGCGAGCGUUGAUCGGAGUUACUGGGCGUAAAGCGCACGUAGGCGGUGUGGUAAGUCAAGAGUCAAAGACCAGCGCUCAACGUUAGGAAGGCUAGUGAUACUAUAAUACUGGAGUAUGAGAGAGGAUUGCAGAAUUCCCGGUGUAGCGGUGAAAUGCGUAGAUAUCAGGAGGAAUAUCGUUAGCGAAGGCGGCAAUCUGGCUCGAAACUGACGCUGAGGUGCGAAAGCGUGGGUAGCAAACAGGAUUAGAUACCCUUGUAGUC
This 465-nucleotide ribosomal RNA is filed under the name uncultured bacterium. RNAcentral describes it as "partial 16S ribosomal RNA". It matches the Rfam family "Bacterial small subunit ribosomal RNA", at positions 338 to 795 of the family's 1533-position model. The record is from RNAcentral.